GAUGAACGCUGGCGGCGUGCCUAAUACAUGCAAGUCGAGCGAACGGACGAGAAGCUUGCUUCUCUGAUGUUAGCGGCGGACGGGUGAGUAACACGUGGAUAACCUACCUAUAAGACUGGGAUAACUUCGGGAAACCGGAGCUAAUACCGGAUAAUAUUUUGAACCGCAUGGUUCAAAAGUGAAAGACGGUCUUGCUGUCACUUAUAGAUGGAUCCGCGCUGCAUUAGCUAGUUGGUAAGGUAACGGCUUACCAAGGCAACGAUGCAUAGCCGACCUGAGAGGGUGAUCGGCCACACUGGAACUGAGACACGGUCCAGACUCCUACGGGAGGCAGCAGUAGGGAAUCUUCCGCAAUGGGCGAAAGCCUGACGGAGCAACGCCGCGUGAGUGAUGAAGGUCUUCGGAUCGUAAAACUCUGUUAUUAGGGAAGAACAUAUGUGUAAGUAACUGUGCACAUCUUGACGGUACCUAAUCAGAAAGCCACGGCUAACUACGUGCCAGCAGCCGCGGUAAUACGUAGGUGGCAAGCGUUAUCCGGAAUUAUUGGGCGUAAAGCGCGCGUAGGCGGUUUUUUAAGUCUGAUGUGAAAGCCCACGGCUCAACCGUGGAGGGUCAUUGGAAACUGGAAAACUUGAGUGCAGAAGAGGAAAGUGGAAUUCCAUGUGUAGCGGUGAAAUGCGCAGAGAUAUGGGGGAACACCAGUGGCGAAGGCGACUUUCUGGUCUGUAACUGACGCUGAUGUGCGAAAGCGUGGGGAUCAAACAGG
RNAcentral lists this ribosomal RNA (766 nucleotides) under Staphylococcus aureus. RNAcentral's name for it is "bacterial SSU rRNA". It matches the Rfam family "Bacterial small subunit ribosomal RNA", at positions 28 to 776 of the family's 1533-position model. The record is from RNAcentral. Lineage: Bacteria; Bacillati; Bacillota; Bacilli; Caryophanales; Staphylococcaceae.